GGCUGGUCCAAUGGCAGUGGGUUAUCAGAACUUAGUAACAUUAGUGUCACUAAAGUUGGUAUACCCCCCCACACUGCUAAAUUUGACUGACUUAAA
Cavia porcellus (domestic guinea pig) is the source of this 96-nucleotide unclassified non-coding RNA. It matches the Rfam family "Y RNA". From Rfam's summary of the family: Y RNAs are components of the Ro ribonucleoprotein particle (Ro RNP), in association with Ro60 and La proteins. The Y RNAs and Ro60 and La proteins are well conserved, but the function of the Ro RNP is not known. The record is from Ensembl. NCBI's taxonomy places the organism in Eukaryota, Metazoa, Chordata, Mammalia, Rodentia, Caviidae.